RNAcentral lists this ribosomal RNA (253 nucleotides) under uncultured bacterium. RNAcentral's name for it is "partial 16S ribosomal RNA". It matches the Rfam family "Bacterial small subunit ribosomal RNA", at positions 524 to 776 of the family's 1533-position model. The record is from RNAcentral.
UACGUAGGUGGCAAGCGUUGUCCGGAUUUACUGGGCGUAAAGAGCGCGCAGGCGGUCGAAUAAGUCGAAUGUGAAAGCCCCCGGCUUAACUGGGGAGGGUCAUUCGAUACUGCUCGACUUGAAGGCAGGAGAGGGUAGUGGAAUUCCCGGUGUAGUGGUGAAAUGCGUAGAUAUCGGAAGGAACACCAGUGGCGAAAGCGGCUUCCUGGUCCAGCACCGACGUUCAGGCACGAAAGCGUGGGGAGCAAACAGG